UUGAGGAGGAUGUGUGGAGGUUUUCUUCUGGCUUUUCAAUCUAACCCUAAAUAGCCGUUAGCGGCUGUUGUGGCAUUCGCUGUUUUACUCGUUGACUUUCAGCGAAUUCAAAGAACUAAAAAACGCCAUCGCUACCAGGGGGUCUCCUCCUCCUCCUGCCGGCCGCGCGCUUCCUGGCUCUCUUCCUUUGGAGGCUCACGACCCAUGGGGCCGCCGGCUGUCCCUUACGAAGAGGCCGCGGUCAGCUUGGCCCGAGCCGCUGCUGCCGCGAAGGGUUCGGCCCUGUCAGCCUCGGGGCGGCCGGNGUGGCUGAAUGGGGGUGAGACGCCUCUGGGCAGGGCGGGCGCGAGAGGAAAAACGGGCGGCGCUCCCGCCCGGGAGCUGGGUCCGCGCACCCCUGAGCCGUGGGGCGAGCGAAGGACGUCGCCCGGACACGC
This 437-nucleotide telomerase RNA is filed under the name Salvator merianae (Argentine black and white tegu). Its description in RNAcentral is "Vertebrate telomerase RNA (ENSSMRG00000023667.1)". It matches the Rfam family "Vertebrate telomerase RNA". From Rfam's summary of the family: Telomerase is a ribonucleoprotein reverse transcriptase that synthesises telomeric DNA. Lineage: Eukaryota; Metazoa; Chordata; Lepidosauria; Squamata; Teiidae. The record is from RNAcentral.